Molecule: ribosomal RNA, 539 nt
Filed under: uncultured bacterium
Lineage: Bacteria
Description: partial 16S ribosomal RNA
Rfam family: Bacterial small subunit ribosomal RNA
Source: RNAcentral
UGGGGAAUUUUGGACAAUGGGCGAAAGCCUGAUCCAGCAAUGCCGCGUGUGUGAAGAAGGCCUUCGGGUUGUAAAGCACUUUUGUCCGGAAAGAAAUCCUUGGCUCUAAUACAGUCGGGGGAUGACGGUACCGGAAGAAUAAGCACCGGCUAACUACGUGCCAGCAGCCGCGGUAAUACGUAGGGUGCAAGCGUUAAUCGGAAUUACUGGGCGUAAAGCGUGCGCAGGCGGUUUGCUAAGACCGAUGUGAAAUCCCCGGGCUCAACCUGGGAACUGCAUUGGUGACUGGCAGGCUAGAGUAUGGCAGAGGGGGGUAGAAUUCCACGUGUAGCAGUGAAAUGCGUAGAGAUGUGGAGGAAUACCGAUGGCGAAGGCAGCCCCCUGGGCCAAUACUGACGCUCAUGCACGAAAGCGGGGGAGCAAACAGAUUAGAUACCCUGGUAGUCCACGCCUAAACGAUGUCAACUAGUUGUUGGGGAUUCAUUUCCUUAGUAACGUAGNUAACGCGUGAAGUUGACCGCCUGGGGGAGUACGGUCGC